UACGGGGGGGGCAAGCGUUGUUCGGAAUUACUGGGCGUAAAGGGCUCGUAGGUGGCCAAUUAAGUCAGACGUGAAAUCCCCAGGCUUAACCUGGGAACUGCGUCUGAUACUGGUUGGCUUGAAUUCGGGAGAGGGAUGCAGAAUUCCAGGUGUAGCGGUGAAAUGCGUAGAUAUCUGGAGGAAUACCGGUGGCGAAGGCGGCAUCCUGGACCGGAAUUGACACUGAGGAGCGAAAGCCAGGGGAGCAAACGGG
This 253-nucleotide ribosomal RNA is filed under the name uncultured bacterium. RNAcentral describes it as "partial 16S ribosomal RNA". It matches the Rfam family "Bacterial small subunit ribosomal RNA", at positions 524 to 776 of the family's 1533-position model. The record is from RNAcentral.